AUUGAACGCUGGCGGAAUGCUUUACACAUGCAAGUCGAACGGUAGAGGGGGCAACCCCUCGAGAGUGGCGAACGGGUGAGUAAUAUAUCGGAACGUGCCCAGUCGUGGGGGAUAACGUAGCGAAAGUUACGCUGAUACCGCAUACGCUCUAAGGAUGAAAGCGGGGGAUCGCAAGACCUCGCGCGAUUGGAGCGGCCGAUAUCAGAGUAGGUAGUGGGGGGGGUAAAGGCUCACCAAGCCAACGAUCUGUGGCUGGUCUGAAAGGACGACAAGCAACACUGGAACUGAGACCCGGUCCAGACUCCUACGGGAGGCAGCAGUGGGGAAUUUUGGACAAUGGACGCAAGUCUGAUCCAGCCAUUCCGCGUGCAGGGUGAAGGCCCUCGGGUUGUAAACUGCUUUUGUACGGAACGAAAAGGUCUCUCUUAAUACGGGGGGCUCAUGACGGUACCGUAAGAAUAAGCACCGGCUAACUACGUGCCAGCCGCCGCAGUAA
Molecule: ribosomal RNA, 496 nt
Filed under: uncultured bacterium
Lineage: Bacteria
Description: partial 16S ribosomal RNA
Rfam family: Bacterial small subunit ribosomal RNA
Source: RNAcentral